RNAcentral lists this ribosomal RNA (410 nucleotides) under thelephoroid mycorrhizal sp. kbc. Its description in RNAcentral is "LSU rRNA". It matches the Rfam family "Bacterial large subunit ribosomal RNA", at positions 1735 to 2065 of the family's 2925-position model. The record is from RNAcentral. Lineage: Eukaryota; Fungi; Basidiomycota; Agaricomycetes; Thelephorales; Thelephoraceae.
UUAUGACAAAAGUUUACUACUCUAAUUUAUUUAAUUAGUGAUAGAAGGCUGGGCCCUUUGGUCAACAAUAGUUGUAGGGUAACAGCCCAAAGGCUUUGUCUCCAAAGCAGCCUACACAUAUGGUGGUGUCACAAAAUCGGAGGCCACGACUGUUUACUAAAAACACAAUUCAGAGCAAUGAUGAAAAUCAUAGUAUUCUGGAUGAAAUUUGCCCGAUGCCAUUAACAUAAAAGAGGUAAUAGGUAACUGUUACUAAUUGAAAGUCUGGUUAAUAGCGGUCUUAACUAUGAGGAUCCUAAGGUAGCAAAAUCAGUUGGCCAUUAAAUGUGGUCUGGUAUCAAUAGUGUAACGAUGGUCUCACUGUCUCUACAACUUGCUCAGUGAAAUUGAAUUAUCCGUGCAGAUGCGGA